UUGCAUCUUAAUCAAAAAUAUGACUUUUGAAUAUUACUCUGUCACUUCAAAUAGGUUUGUCAAUAUAUUUACACUUGUUAAAAUGUUAAAAGUCUAUAUACAAUAUAUUUGCAAUUUGCAUCAUUUGAAAAGUCUGUUGUCCGGGAGAUAUAAAAACAUAUCUUCCAAGCUUAACUACACAAAUUAUUUUUUAAAUCUGCAAGGGUGUCUCACAACAUCUCACAAACUUUGAUGAUUUCAAUAUAAUAAUGCUUGGCAAAAAACAAUCUUAAGGCAACAAUGUCUUGCCAAAACCCCACAUCAUCUGGUAAGAGUAAAAAUAGGAUUUUAAGAAAAUAACAUGUAGGUCAAAAGACAUCGUAAUGAUUAUAAAUCUGUGCUUCUGAUUGCUUGAGUUAAAAACAGUUGAUUUAAAUAAUGAGGAAGAGAUAGUGAUCAUAAGUUGUUUUGGCACAUAAAAAAAUAUUUAUCAAUCUUCUUAUAAGUUGGGGUCCAGGUUUACUACACAAAUGCAAACUCCAGCCAGUACCUCCUGUCCAGUUGUCAGUUCGACAGGAGGGCUUUAUGUUCCCCUGUAAGAUUUGUGAUGGCUGACAGGAGAUGCACAGCCUGUGUUAUCUCAGGUGGAUGCUGUUCUCUUCAAUCUGCGAGUCGACAUCUGUCACUGCUAGGUUCUUCAGAGAUGGCAAAUAAGGGACAGAAGAGUUUAUUUGCAGUAGUGACAUCAUUGGCAUCCCAUGAUGAAGCGGUUGCUGGGACCUCUACAGCGGGUCAGGCUCUUUCCCCGCCAUUGAAUGAAGCCACGGGCCGUCAAUGCUCAAGAAGGAGAAGUGCUGCGACCUGGACAGAAACUGAGACAGACCCGUCCAACCCCACCAGCACUGUUACCCCGCCUGUGAGGUCACCCAAAAAAAGAUGGCUGGAGAGACAGGCCAAAGAAUCCGAAACAUAGUUGAAUAAGUUUGCAAGUAAACAUUGUGACUAAGCAGUCUGUU
Long non-coding RNA from Paramisgurnus dabryanus, 995 nucleotides. RefSeq lists it as uncharacterized. Lineage: Eukaryota; Metazoa; Chordata; Actinopteri; Cypriniformes; Cobitidae. The record is from RefSeq and is a predicted model, not a curated record.